Non-coding RNA from Solanum lycopersicum (tomato), 205 nucleotides. The record is from RefSeq and is marked provisional. NCBI's taxonomy places the organism in Eukaryota, Viridiplantae, Streptophyta, Magnoliopsida, Solanales, Solanaceae.
UUUUAAUUUGGUUUCAGGCAGUCUCCUUGGCUACCUUGACAUGCUCUUUUCUUUUAUGCAAGAUAUCUUUUCAAAAUAGAAGUUUUAGUCAUCGUUAAAAUAUCGAGACGGGGUUACAAGUCUUAUUUAAAAGAAGAGAAGUCUAGCAUGAUGAGAAGAGUCUUAUUUGGUAGCCAAGGAUGACUUGCCUGCACCGUACUUGAAA